UACGAGAGGCGCAAACGUUAUUCGGAUUUACUGGGCUUAAAGAGUUCGUAGGCGGCUCAGUAAGUCGGGUGUGAAACCUCCAGGCUCAACCUGGAGACGCCACCUGAUACUGCUGUGGCUAGAGUCCGGUAGGGGAGCGUGGAAUUCCUGGUGUAGCGGUGAAAUGCGCAGAUAUCAGGAGGAACACCAGCGGCGAAGGCGGCGCUCUGGGCCGGAACUGACGCUGAGGAGCGAAAGCGUGGGUAGCAAACGGG
This 254-nucleotide ribosomal RNA is filed under the name uncultured bacterium. Its description in RNAcentral is "partial 16S ribosomal RNA". It matches the Rfam family "Bacterial small subunit ribosomal RNA", at positions 524 to 776 of the family's 1533-position model. The record is from RNAcentral.